RNAcentral lists this ribosomal RNA (255 nucleotides) under uncultured bacterium. RNAcentral describes it as "partial 16S ribosomal RNA". It matches the Rfam family "Bacterial small subunit ribosomal RNA", at positions 524 to 776 of the family's 1533-position model. The record is from RNAcentral.
UACAGAGACUGCAAGCGUUAUUCGGAUUUACUGGGCGUAAAGGGCGCGUAGGCGGUCAGCACAAGUCAGUUGUGAAAUCUCCGGGCUUAACUCGGAACGGUCAACUGAUACUGCUCGACUAGAGUGCGGAAGGGGCAACUGGAAUUCUUGGUGUAGCGGUGAAAUGCGUAGAUAUCAAGAGGAACACCUGCGGCGAAGGCGGGUUGCUGGGCCGACACUGACGCUGAGUGCGCGAAAGCCAGGGGAGCGAACGGG